CGCGGAAGGGAUGGGACGAAGCGCACACAUAGCCACCACCGGUGUGGGCGGACGUAGAUUUCCUGAUCCGCUAAAGAGCAAACCUUCAGCGUCGCGCCCAAACCUCGGGGAUGAGCUUGAUGAAAUACGUCGUCAAGAGGACAUUUAGUGUUGUAGCUGCAGGGGCAAGCUUGUUGGGUCCGGGGUGGGCGGGAGUUGUUGAUCCGCUCCGGAGAAAGCAGGGGGCAUAAACUGCGUCGCAGAAGCCCUCGAGGAAAUGCCAGUCUGUG
RNAcentral lists this long non-coding RNA (269 nucleotides) under Volvox carteri. RNAcentral describes it as "long non-coding RNA (VCAR_LNC000099)". The record is from RNAcentral. Lineage: Eukaryota; Viridiplantae; Chlorophyta; Chlorophyceae; Chlamydomonadales; Volvocaceae.